UCGGUCGCGCGCGGGCCCAGCGCCCAGGGUGGUGCCUCUGCUGAGACUCGGGUCGCGCCGCAAGCCUUGCAAGGUCACUGAGCCGCGGGUGAGAGCGCGGCGGCCCUGCCGUUGCAAAGCCUCAGGAAAGGCCCGUGGAAACCAGGCGGCCCUGCGGUAACCAGCGCAGCUCCCGUACGGCUGUCACUGCUCUUUGCAAACCUUGCAUGGAGGAGGAAACCGGGGUCGCCCAGAAAAUGUACACGGACACCAGCCUCUGUCUUAGGCACGUCUGUCGGCACACAAAAUACAAGCAUCUCAAUCUGGAAUAACUAAGGAGACUCAAAGAUAGCUGGAGCCCACGAAAAUCAUGGCAAAUCCUUUGUUGCCCAGGACUGCGGAAUCCUUUUCCAUGGGAAAAAAAAAUUAAAAUACAGACAACAUGACAGCCUUAUGCUCUUCACCUUAUGUAAAAUGCUGACCCCCGUGGCCUUGCUUUCUCUACAUGUAUUCGCUAUUUAACCCUCACAAUACACCCGUGAACUGGGUUCUGUUCCCACUUGUAGGGGCGGAUGCAGCUUUUCACGGGGCCUGAAAUGUGUGCAGUUUGGGUGGUCCUCUUAAGAGAGAAAACCAAACAAAUCAGCACGUCCAACCUGCUCCAGCAGCCCUUAGCACCCGGUGGACAUUCAGCUGGAAAGAGACCUCUGUUCAGCCCAUAGUGGUUAAACUAUCUUACUCUUAACAAAUUGUACAAAAAU
This is a long non-coding RNA of Microtus ochrogaster (prairie vole), 740 nucleotides long. RefSeq lists it as uncharacterized. The record is from RefSeq and is a predicted model, not a curated record. NCBI's taxonomy places the organism in Eukaryota, Metazoa, Chordata, Mammalia, Rodentia, Cricetidae. The transcript has 2 exons.